This 18121-nucleotide long non-coding RNA is filed under the name Lynx pardinus (Iberian lynx). Lineage: Eukaryota; Metazoa; Chordata; Mammalia; Carnivora; Felidae. The record is from RNAcentral.
AGACCAUUAGCAAGCUGCUGGGAGCUGGGGCUCCGGUUGCUGAGAACAGGCUGGGCUCAGAGCUGCCAGCCAGCCCAUCGAUCAUGGAUUUCACCGGGAUGCUUUCUGACCUUUCAAGGUUAGUGAAGACUCAGCAGUCACAUACCGUUCUGUGAUUAAAUGUCUCAAUCCUGAGCACGGUCUAUUAUUUUGCAAUUCAGAGAAGAAAAGGGACAGUACUUAGUAGCAAGGUGGUUUUUAGUGACAGCAACACGAUGACACGGUUUAAAAGGUUUUAAAGAAACAAAGAUGGUUACAACUCUCACAAGUUCUAUUUUUUGCAUAUUGUUUUGUUUUUUAUAUUUGUGUAGCUAUGCUGCUAUUUUCUGCACUUAAUAGCACAUAUUUUUUGUUGAAGUAUAGUUGACACGCAACGUUACGUUAGUUUCAGGUAUACAACGUGGUGAUUUGACAUCUCUAUACGUUAUUCAGGCUCAUCACAAGGGUAACUACCAUCUGUCACCAUGCAACACCAUUACUACGUCAUUGACUAAAUUCCCUAUGCUGUACCUUUCACCCACGUGACUUAUUCACUCCGUAACUGGAAACUUGUAUCUCCCACUCCCCUUCACCCGUUUUGCCCAUCCUCCUCACCGCCCCCCCCCCCGCCGCCCCUCUGGCAACUACCAGUUUGUUCUAUUUAUGGGUCUGUUUCUGCUCUUUUUUUUAUUCCUGCUUUUCUUCCCAUCUGUUUGUUUAGUUGUUUCAUUAAGCAUUUUUUAAAUGUUUAUUUAUUUUUGAGAAAGAGAGAGACAGAGCACAAAUGGGGGAGGAGCAGAGAGAGAGGGAGACACAGAGUCUGAAGCAGGCUCCAGGCUCUAACCUCGAACCCACGAGCCGUGAGAUCGUGACCUGAGGUGAAGUCGGACGCUUAACCGACUGAGCCAUCCAGGUGCCCCUAGUUGUUUUGUUUCUUAGAUUCCACCUAUAAGUGUAAUUGUGUGGCAUUUGUCUUUCUCUGAUGUAUUUCACUUAGCAUAACACCCAUUAGGUCCAUCUAUGUUGGUAAGAUCUCAUUCUUUUUUUUUUUUUUCUCAUUCAUUUUUAUGGCUAAUAUUCCAUUGUAUAUAUACACUGCCUCUUCUUUUUCCAUUCAUCUAUUGAUACGCUUAGGUUGCUUCCAUAUCUUGGCUGAUGUAAGUAAUGCUGCAAAUGGGGAUGCACAUCUUUUCAAAUUAAUGUUUUUGUUUUCUUUGGGUAAAUGUCCAGUAGUGGCAUUAUUGGAUCAUAUGGUGUUUCUAUUUUUAACUUUUUGAGGAACUUCCAUAUUGUUUUCCACAGUGGCUGCACCAGUUUAUAUUCCCACCAACAGUGCAUGAAGGUUCUUUUUAAAGAUUGGAUUAUUUGUUUUUCUGAUGUUGAGUUGUGUAAAUUCUUUAUAUAUUUUGGAUAUUAACCCCUUAUUGGACAUAUCAUUGCAAAUAUCUUCUCCCAUUUCAUAGGUUGCCUUUUAGUUUUGUUGAUUGUUCUCUUUGCUGUGCAAAAGCUUUUUAUUUUGGUGUAGUCCCAAUAGUUUGUUUUUGCUUUUGUCUCCCUUGCCUGAGGAGACAUAGCUAGAAAAAUGUUGCUAAGGUCGAUAUCCGAGAGAUUAGUGCCUAUGGUUUCUUAAUAACACAUACUAUUUAAUUAGUAUUUCCCUACGUUUCUAAACAAUCUUUAUAGUAGUUUCAAAGACUGCCUAAUCCAUUGAAUUGAUUGCAUCACAGAUGACGUAUCACCUCCUUACUCGUUGCAUGUAUAGGUUUUUGCAGAGGUCAUGUAGUUGAAGAAGGUGCCUGAGAAUGCAGUACUCAUUAGUGGGGUGGGAAGGGGGACCACGGUGAAGGUGCUGGUACCCACUGCCACAUAAAGGCAAUGGGUACCUUGGGGUGGGCUUGUAACAGGACAGAAACAAACCAUUCACCUAUAUUUUGCGCGAGACUAGCCCUGGUUCUAUGUACAUCAACUCACACUUCAUCUUAAAAACAAAAAACAAAACACAAAACACAAACCAAAAAUCUUAUGUAAGAAAAAAAAUGUUGAGGCAUGUGUCGUUUUUAGUAUUGCAGGAAUCACAUGGUAUCCCAUCAAGGUCCAAAAGCCAGAGCCCACUGGUCAGCACGUGGUAGAACUUCUGUUAGGUUCCAGGACUAGCAUGGCUGCUGCUGGGCUUUGUGGAGUGGGUAGUGUACAGACUUCCUGCUCCUCCCAUCCUUUAUCCCAUAGCUAUGGCCCCUGGGCCCUGCCCAACUGCCUGGGAACAUCCCACUGCUGGUCCAGGGAGAGCUGAUUAGCCUUAGGCAUAGACAUAGGAAUCGCCUGGGGGAGGGGUACUGAAAGUAGAGAUUCUUAGCACAGCCCCCCCCCACCCCCCCUCCCCAUGCCAUGCAUGGCUCCCCAUUCCAUGAAGGUCCAGAGAUCUGGGACGGGGCCUAGGAGUUAGCAUUUUGACAAGUAUGCUGAUUACCCUGAUACAAUGAGCAACUGUGAGACACACAACCUCCGGACAUAGCUUAGGACUUGUAGUCAAGGCUACUUUCUGGCUGGAAGGUGCUCCUGAUGCUAUCGCUGGGUCCCCACCAGUGUACCCUGGCCACUUCUUGGGGAACGGGGCUUCUGUGUGACUGCCCCAUGCCUCCCAGAUUCUGGCUGGGCCCAAGUACUGGCUCAUGGACCACCAUGACCCUGGCCACUUUGCAUCCUUAUACUGCCUGGCUAUCGGAGAACUCACCAGGUGGCUACUUGGAGUGACACCCACCAACCUGCAACCUGCACGCUCUCCUAUCUUGUCAACGUCUCCCCACCCUGUACUCUAUGGGCCUUCUCUCACCUGCUACCAGGCCCACCCCAGGAGCCAUGUCCUCCCCACCCUCCAAACACAUCUUAUCUCCAGUCGUACUUCUCCUCAGCCAGCCCGUCCGCCUGUGAAAACAUUGCUCUCCAGUCAGAACGUAGACAGACAUCCCAGGAGCUCUUAUGGAUGCCUUGUUUGGCAGCUACUCAGUCUCCUUCCAGCUCCCAUGUUUUCAGCCUUUCUGAAAAACAACACGUGUGUCUCACAGUCAUUUGGGUCCUUCGUGAAUCAUCUCCAAAACAACACCCUUUCCCAACCUCCACCGUGCCCUAGUCCGUACUCUGAUCUAGGACGUUAUGAUAUCUCUGGGCUCAAGAAGUCCUCUCAACCAUCAGCUCUUUCACAUUUACAAACGGAUGAACAUGAGGCCAAAUAUGGAUAGUUACUGUUGGAGUCAGUCAGUCAAACCAAAUAAAUGUGAUAUAUGUAAUGGGGCCUCCUAAUUAUCCUGCUUUAUAGUAUUUAAUCAUGAAUAAUAGUAAGCAGUAAACUCUAGUUACAGUGCUGUAUUGCUGAUGACUCAGAUAUGCAUUUGUAAAUUAGACCGGACCUCUGAUUCAUCAGCCAAUAAAGUAUGAACGUGUACUUAGUUGCAUGUGCCUGCAAUGGGCUUCUUUCACCACUAGAAGGCAAAGGUGCAGUUGUUUCUGCCUCUUUGUUUUUCUGGUAGCUUAAAGCUCUGUGGGAAGGUGCCAGAGAGGCCGAGGGUUCCUAGGCUCCUGAAGUCCAGAAGAGGGUGGAGGCAGGGGGGCCACUGAGGUGGGAAAAGGAGGAAAUCGACAUUUACUGAGAGUUCACCGCGCACUAGACUCUGCGUUGGUCAUUCAUGCAUACGUUUAUCGUUUAGUCCUUUCAGCCACUCAAUUUACAGAUGAGGAAACAGAAUCAGGGGGACAGAAUGACCUGCCCAAGCUAACAGAGCCAAUUCUAGUGGGAGCACAGAUUUAAACAGAAGGCUGUCUUGGUUCCAAAGCCUGUGUGCUUUGACCCAUAAAUAACACCAGAAGGGGAAGGCUAGGGUGCCCCCUCACAACUGGGCUUUAUUUUUAGGACUGACCUGUUCUUAUCACCUGUGCUCAAACCACAGCUGUCUGUGAACUUCCUGCUUCACACAGCUGUGUGUGCAUUUGCCUCCAGAAAUGGUGCCUUGGAAGCCUGGAAUGGCUCCUUUCUUUCCUGAAACUGAAAUAAUCAAGUAUCCUUCUAGGGUCAGGCCUUGAAUCCUAAAAGACCGACCGGACAUCCUAGCCUAGGGCUCUAGAAAUGGGUGUGAGCGGCUGCCAUCAGUCCUGCCCAGGCAAGGGUGCUGGCGCCCGGGCCUCCUUGUUCUGACCUUCCGCACGUCCAGUGCCACCGAUUUUGGUCAAAGUUGUAUUGAUCUACUUUUGUUCAGUUAUGUGUAUCAUUUUGAAGAAUACACCAUGAACAGUUCUACUCCUGGGUACAUGCACAGAAGAAAUGAAAACAGGGACUACAGAUAUCUGUACCCCAGAGUUCACAGUGGUGUUAUUCACAGGAGCCCAGUGGUGGAGUCAGCCCAUGUGUCCACUCACUGAUGAAUGGGUAGACAAAAUGUGUAUACAUACAAUGGAAUAUUAUUCGGCUGUAAAAAGGACAGAAAUCCUAGCAUAGGCUAUAACAUGGAUGAACCUUGAAGACAUUAUGCUAAGUGAAAGAAGCCGGUCACAAAAAAGAUAAACCUCGUAUGGUUUCCCCAGUAGGAGGCACAUAGAGUAAUCAAAUUCAGAGAGACAGAAAGUAGAGCAGUGGUUAUCAGGAGCUGGGAUGGAGGGGAAAAUGGAAGAGUGGUGUUUAAUGGGUACAGAUGGUUUCAGUUGGGGAUGAUGGAAAAGUUCUGGAAGUGGGUGGUGGUGAUGAUUGCACAAGGAUGUAAAUUAUUUAAUACCACAGAACGGUACCUCGUAAAAUGGCUAAAAUGGAAAAUUUAAUGUCAUGUACAAUUUACUAUAAUUUUUAAAAUUGUGCCGAAUAUUUCACUGAAAAUCUCAGUCAAAAGCUGUUGGUGUCCUGUCCCUUAAAGGAGCCUUGUUUCCCACCAAUUGCAGCCAAAGGUGUGCAUCCCAGGGCAUAAAGGAAGGCCCUGUUGUCUGGUUUGGCAAAUAGGGGACCCCAGAGAAGGUUGACCCCCUGUACCAUGCCCUUGAACGCUCUUGAGAUGCCCUCACGUCCCAGCCUCCCGUCAGACUGUGCCAGCGCCCAACCUGGAUAAUGACCAUCCCAGGCUGUUUCUGCUGCAGCCGUGGCCUUGCUGGAGGAAAGCCAUGUGCCAGCCAGCUGUACUUGCGAUUCAGGCUCUAACUCAGUGGGGACCUCCCUGUUGCUCAGAAAUCCCAUGUUUUCCAGCUCAAGUGCUAUCAGUAGCUCAUUCUCUACCAUGACUCUUCCAAAUUCUUUCUUUCAUUAAGCUCUAAGUUUUUCAACAUCCCCACAAAGCCUGCAGCAAGAUCUCUCACUUUUCUCUGUCACUGACUUUAUGUUCUUCUCCAUCUUAUCUCCUCCCUUUCUGUUUUGCUUGGAGCUGAUGCCCCAGGAGGAAGAGGGCCUUCCGUGGCCUGCUAGUUCCCUAUUAUAACUCAGCAUCAAUGAUUUUAGAUAUUGCGUUUUUUUUUUGUAAAUUUUUAAUGUUUAUUUUUGAGAGAGAGAGACACACACACACACACACCAACAGAAUGAGCGGGCAAGGGGCAGAGAGAGAGGGAGACACAGAAUCCAAAGCAGGUUCCAGGCUCCGAGCUGUCGGCACAGAGCCCGACGCGGGGCUGGAACUCACGAACCACGAGAUCAUGACCUGAGCUGAAGUCGGAUGCUUAACUGACUGAGCCACCCAGGCGCCCCUGGAUAUUGUGGUUCUGAGUAAGGUUUGCCUGAAGGAAGUUUCUGUCAUUAAAAAAAAAACAAACAAAAAACAACUGUCUUUAAACAGCACUGACUUGGAGGACCAAGUACUUGUUUUCUUUUACAGCUGACUUCACCACUGCCCCGUCCCCUCUUCUCCAGGGCAGUGAGGCUCCGUUGCCCUUUUUCACCAUCUCUUACCUACAAACAUGUUCAAAGGUAUACACCCUAAAACCCAUUUUCCCUUGACCCUGAACCCCCUUCAGCUUGCCACCCAGCCCUCCUCUCCUUACUGCCAAACGUAAUGAAAAAGUUAAGAAAGCCUGUCCCCGUUUUGUGACCGUGCUCUCAGCUUCUCAUAGCCUGGCUUCUGCCCGCCCGAAACUCUUCUUCUGAGACCACCGCCCCUGCCUUGCCCUGCACAGGACAGUUGCCACUUUCCAUCCAAGCCUCGGGACCGUGCUCUCCUCUGCGCCCUCAGUUCCGCCACUUUUCCCGUCAUUUGCUUCCUCUCCUCUGAUGUCAACAGAUCGUGCAGUGAGUUUCUGCCUUCAGCCCUCUUGUCGGACACUUCUGCCUUUGUAGCUACAGGCUUUGAAUGGCUGGCUCUCCCGCGAAGUCUUGCCUGGUCGCUCAAGCCUCUGGCUGGACUGGGCCACUUGCACCGAACUCACUGCUUCCCAAGCUAACCCUUCACUUUCACCUCCUCAUCCAGCCCAUUUCCUGUCCCCAUUGCCAGCAUGCCCAGGGCUCUGUCUCAGGGGGCUUUAGCCCCGGAAUCAUCUAUGACUCCUUCCUCCCACCCGACACCAGUCAAUCACCAAACCCUAUCAGUUCUGCCCCUGUGACCUUCCUCCCAUCUUUUCCUUUCUGCUCACUUGCAGACACCCCCGCUGUAUCAAGCUCUCUUGGCUCCUCCCUAGCCAGGCCACUCCUUCCUGUCUUCCCCACUCUGUCUCCAAGGUCCUGUCACUGUGCCUUAUUCUUUUUUCUCUCUUUUUAUUUUAUUUUAUUUUUUUCCUCAAAGAAUUAUUUAUUUAUUUUUAACUUCUUUUUUUUUUCAAUAUAUGAAAUUUAUUGUCAAAUUGGUUUCCAUACAACACCCAGUGCUCAUCCCAAAAGGUGCCCUCCUCAAUACCCAUCACCCACCCUCCCCUCUCUCCCACCCCCCAUCGACCCUCAGUUUGUAUUUCUCUCUUUUUAAAAACUAUUUAUUUUGAGUGAGUGAGAGAGAGAGAGAGAGAGAGAGAGGGAAUCCCGAGCAGCCUCCACGCUGUCAGCACAGAACCUGACGUGGGGCUUGAUCCCAUGAAUGUGAGAUCAUGACCUGAGCCGAAAUCAAGAGUCUGAUGCUUAACUGACUGAGCCACCCAGGCGCCCUGGUGCCUUAUUUGAAAGCAUAGCCCGGCAGACCACUGGAGCUAUGAACCCUUCCUGGCUCCACUCCCCCUUCCCACCAAAUCUCUCCCUGCCCUCGCUCUGCAUGCUCUGGACCAGCCUCACCAGACCGCUCACCGCUGCCCACGUGCACCAGGGGCUUCCCCACCUCUGCCAUCUGGCUUCCACCGGCUCCACAGCCUGAAACACCUCCCCAGGGGUCAUCUCCGACAAAACCCGUCCUUUAAGGGCCAAGCAAGUGAUCCUUCUGGCCGGACAUGGUGUCUUCCUCCUCCUGACUUUGGUAGCACUGGUUCCCCCAUUUUUAAGUGUUCUGCCUUGUGGGAUAAUCCUCUCUGUCUCUCUGUGUCUGUGUCUGUGUCUCUCUCUCUCUCUCUUCUCCCCCUCCCCCACCCCGUGCUGGGAUGCCAGCUCCUUGCAGCAGAAACCCUGUCUUAGUCAUCUUUGUGUCCUCUUCAGCGUCUUAUGCAAAGUAGAUGCUCAAAACUACUGGUUAGUUUGAAUGAAGAAGAUGAUCUUAACUUCAGAUGGGGGUGGGGGGGGUGAGGCGAUGUCACUUCUGUCAGUGCCUCUCUCUGGUUUCCACCAACAAAACACUUGGUCAGGUCACCUCUCAGGCAGUGCCGUUUCCUUGUUCUCUGGUCUCCUGCCACAACUAUCUUGGCACAACGUGGGGCACCUCAGAGUCUCUCACCAUGGCCUUGUUAUACUUUCUUCCUUUGAUGGAGUUACAGAGAGUCUAAAUUACCCUUUGCUAGCUUGCCCCUCUUCCUGGUCAGCCCCUCUGCGUCCCUGGUGGGUUUCCUGGAUGCUAUCAGGAGGGGCCUGUGCCUCUGUCAGGGCUCCUGCGGCAUGGAAGGCCCCAGGCCACUCCCAGAGCACACGUGGUGGGCUUUCUCUUGUUCCCACAGGAACACCCGGUUACUCACCAGGGUGAAGAGCAGGGACAAUGAAGUUUUAAAAAACUUUACUAUAAAGGCAGCAUAUAAGGAAGAAGAAAAACCUUCACUAUGAUCUCAGCUCUUUUAUACAACGAUUUUCAUGUUUGCAUGUUUCUUUCUGGCAGGGUCCAUUUUUAUACAGCUCCGGAAAUAAUAUAUAUAUAUAUAAUAAUCUAUAUAUAUAUAUAUAAAUAUAUAUAUAAUAUAUAUUAUAUAUAUAAUAUAUAUUAAAUAAAUAUAUAUAUAUAUAUAUAUAUAUAUCAUAUUCCCCUAAUUAGGGAAUCCUGAACACUUCCCUGUGAUUCUACACCUUUCAGAAUAUUUCUUGUAAUGGCUAUAUAAUAUUGCCCAGGCAAUAAUUUAUCUUUUUAUUGCAUAUUCAGAUUGGUGCUGAAUUUUUUUUUUUGACAUUGGUGGUGAUGCAUAUAGCUUUUAUCGUAUGUUUAAUUAUUUCAUUGGGAUAAAUUCCCAAGGAUGGGAUGACAAAGUCAAAGAACAAACAUUUUUAUGACUCUUGAUUCUUAUUCCCAUUUGCAUUCCAAAAGUGUUGUACUGACUUACAGAGAAUAGUAUUUCAGUGCUACCAGAGUCCAUUUUGUUGCUAAUGCCUACUCAGAUUCAACAAAUAUUUGGCUGCUUACUAUGUGGGAGGCACUUACAUAUUUAUUUAUGCAUUAAAAUAUCUUCCUAGGACCUUAUAUAGGCUUUCAGAGUUGGCGGACACCUGCUCAUUUUACAAAUGAAGACACGAAACCCAGAGAAAUUAUGUACAGUGUUCAGCAUUGCAUGGUCUGAAAACAAUAGCACAUAUACAGUAAGCCUUGAGUGUCUGGCCUUUGAGCCCCGGACACUGCCCCCGGCCUUUGAGCCACGUCCAGCUGGUGCAGUGUGGGUGUUUGUUUCUUUCCCAUUAAUGCAGCCGAGAAGUGACAGCGCGUUGUCCUCUGGCCACCGCCAACCCGGACAAUCUCCUGUAUGGCAUAUGUUUGGUCAAUAGAAGUGGGAAAGCUCCAGACCUCUAAGACCCCCACAGCUAAGCCAAGACCUCUGAUGAGUAAUGGAAGACUUAUUUUCCAAAAAGGGGGACUUCUUUACCCCUUCUGGGUGUAAUUCCCACAGACUGUGGCAUAUUAAGCAUGAAGCGGCCUGUAAUUCCCUGUCCUCCCCCUUCCCCCAUGCCUACGCUUACCCCCAUGCCUCCUACCUUGCGGUGCCAGGGAUAACCUUUCUGUGGCCUUCUAUGCGCUCACUCUUUCAUCUUUAAGUACCAGCUCUUCCAAGAAGGCUUUUUUAAAUCUUCCCGUGAGUCAGUUAUCUAUUGCCGUCUAACAAAACCAUCCUGAAACUUUUUACUCAAACUAGCAAUGAUGUAUAAUUUCCCAUGAUUCUGUGGAUUGACUGAGUAGUUCCUCUGCUGGUUUCACCUGAACAUACUCAUUCAACAUAGGGUAGGAAGGGCUGGAGGGGCUGAUGGUCAAGAUGUCUGGCAGUUGUUGGCUCACACCUGGGGCACCUCAGUUCCCCUUCAUGUGGUCUCUCCUCCUCCAGUAAGCCGACGGUCUUCCUUACGUGGCAUCUCAGGGCGAUGUUCUAACGUGCAAGUGCCCGUCAAGCCUCUGGUGCAUCAUUGUCCCACUGGCCAAAGCAAAUCCCAAGGCCGCACUGAAAGUCUAUGGGGGAGGGAGACACACACAGCGGGGAUACUGGGAGAUACCUAGUGGGUAUACUGGGAGGCAUGCUUAAGAGGACCACUCCUCUAACAAAUGGCUCACAUCCCUUGCACGUGGGAUGCCCUCACUCUUCCCGGUGCCCACACGCCUCAUCCAAUCAGGGGCCCAGGCUCACAGAGGAGGGCCUCCGGAUCCAAUCAGAUUCCGGUUUGUGCAAGGCUCCUCGCUUGCAGCUCCUCCCUGGGUCCCCUUGGGUCAAGGACGGUGAACUAAAAAGAGAAUCAUCUCCUCGCCUCACAUCUCACAGUGGUGAGAGAGGGCCUGAGGACCUUGGUAAACACUCAGGUCCCAGGAGGGAGUGGAGGGAGACACACAGUGACUGGGCAAUUCUGAACCGAGCAGGAUCCGUGUUGUCGAGGCUCUCUACUUUGGAGGGAAGGAUGCUCGUGCGCCAGGGCCCUGCUAGCUCGCUGGGAGUGAUUCCUCAGUCGAUUGUUCUCUGUGCCUCUUCGCUCCGGAGAUACUCUUCCGGGUCUGUAAGAACUGUGUCUGCAGCUGAGUAGCUCUUUCUGCCCUUAGAUCGUGUGGAGCUGAGGGGGGAGGGAGGCUUUUUUCACUUUGAACUCUCCCUGUCCGAGGACUCCCCUAAAACGAUGUCGGCUUUUUUUUUUUUUUAAUCUGUCAGAGAAGAGUCUACUUUGUUAGACAAAAGCCAUUCCCACAAUUAUUUUAGAGAUGGUCCUCCCUCCACUUUGGGCAGCAUGUCAGAGAGCCACAGGGCAAAUGACCUCAAGAUUCUUAGAAGCUCCUUUUCCAGAGAGAGCUACUAGCACCACCUUAUAUCUUUCUGAGGUCUUAACAAAGAGUCACAGCCUCAAACUUGAUUUGGUCUUUACCCUGAAGCCAUCCAUGUCUUCCUUGGAGACUCCUGUGGGUUAGAGAGACUAGAAAUACGAAACACUUGACUCUGGUAGCCAGCACACCCCACACCUCCCGUCUUCCUUCUAAAUUCUGCUGGGAUGCUGAACAGUUCCUCCUUGCUGUCCCUUAUGGCAAAAGCUGCUAAAAAAGACAAUUUACGCUUUUAACAUUCUGCCUGGCAAUUCCCCGAGUCCGAAUCAUAAGCUUAUUAGGCCAGUUUUCUACCUUCUAAAUUCCUGCUGGGGCCGUUUCGCUGCUAGAAGACACAGGUGCCGCCUUUCCCCUCCUGCAGUAGAUUUCCCCCAAAACCUCCUGCCCCCCCUCCCAGCCUUCCUUUGCCACACAAUCCAAAGCCAAUACUACACGUUUCAUAUUUUUGUUAAGGUGCUAAUUCCUUCCAGGUACCAGUUUCUGUACACUAUCUAUUGGUGCGAAACAAAUCACUCCAAACUUUGAGUCUUAAUUAUUAUUCCUCUCAUCUUCACGGGUCAACUGGGAGGCUCCUUUGUUGGUGUCACUAGGGCCCCUCACAUGGCUGCACUUAAACUGUAAGAUCAACCAGACUGGAAUGUCCUAGAUGGCCUCACUCCACAUCUGGCAGUAGGAGCUAAUCAAUAGUGAGACUGUCUCCGUUUUCCUCCCUGUGGCCUCUUCAUAGGCUAGACUGGCUUCCUUACAUUAUGGUCACAGGGCAGUGUUUCAAGAGAGCAAGUCCUACUGUGCAAGUAUUUCCCAAGCCUCUGCUUCUGUCAUGUGUGCCAUUUGUCCCAACACACAAGGGCACGUGCACCACGAGGCAUGACCCAUUGGGGACCAUCACUGUUACAGUCUACUUUACCAUGCCUCUAGACUGAAUGGGUCUUCUCCUUUGGGCUCUCCUAGUGCCUUGAACCUCUACUAAAAUGCACUUGAGGGGCACCUGGGUGGCUCAGUCGGUUAAGUGUCUGACUCUGGCUCAGGUCACGAUCUCGAGGAUGGUAGGUUCUAAACCUGUGUUGGGCUCUGUGCUGACAGCUCAGAAUCUUGAACCUGCUUUGGAUUCUGUGUCUCCCUCUCUCUCUGCCUCUUCACUGCUUGCAUGCCUGCUCUCUCUCUCUCAAAAAUAAAAUAAACAUUAAAAAAAAAUUUUUUUUAAUACACUAUGGCACCUGGGUGGCUCAGUCAGUUAAGCAACCAACUCUUGAUUUUGGCUCAGGUUUGUGGGUUCAAGCCUCACAUUGGGUUUUGACAACGUGGAGCUUGAAUGGAAUUCUCUCUCACCUCCUUCUCUGCCCCUCCCCCACUCACGCUCUCACGCUCUCACGCUCUCUCUCAAAAAUAAAUAAAUAGGGGCACCUGGGUGGCUCAGUUGGUUAAGUGUCUAACUUUGGCUCAGGUGAUGAUCUCACAGUUCCUGAGUUUGAGACCUGCAUUGGGCUCUGUGCUGACAGCAUGGAGCCUGCUUCGGAUCCUCUGUGUCCCUCUCUCUGCCCCUCCCCUGCUUGCACUCUCUCUUUUUCUCUCUCAAGAGUAAAAUAAACAUUUAAAUAUAAAUAAAUGAAAUAUAAAAAAAGAAAUGCAUUUCUUCAAAAAAAUAAUACAAAUAAAGGCACUUAAUUAACAUAGUCUCUCUUUAAAGUCAGCAUUUCUGUUUAAUUCACUGCCAUCUGUAAGCUUUUUUUUUUUUUUUUUUGACUGGGAAAAUUAUUUUCUUUGGUGUGGGCAGGCGUCUAGUCUCACAACUUCCAGAGUUGCUUCUUGAUGCCAGUGGCCUUGGUGACCUUGAGCACAUUGCAGCACACAGUCUUGCUUGAGAGCUGGCACUCACCCACUGUGAUAAUGUCGCCAACAUGGAUGUCUCUGAAGCAAAGGGACGGGUGCAUGGAUAUGUUCUUGUGGUGUUUCUUGAAGCGGUUGUACUUUGGGAUGCAGUGGAGGUAGUCUCAGUGGAUGAAAAUGGUCCUCUGUAUCUUCAUCGUGGCCACCACACCAGACAGAAUCUGCCCUCAGAUGGAGACAUUACCAGUAAAGGGGCAUUUCUUGUCACUAUAGGUGUCCUCAGUGUCCUCCGUGGGCAUCUCAAAAGCCCAGACUGUUUUUGUAGUAUUGUGGAAACUUCUCCUUGCCAAUUUCUCUAAGCAGGAUCCUCUUCUUAUUUUGAAAGAUGGUCAGCUGCUUUUGGUAGGCACGCUCAGUCUGAAUGUCCACCAUCUUCCCAGCCACCUGAGGAAGGGUCUGUAAGCUUCUUUAAGCAGAUAAUUUCCAGGUCUGUUUUCUAUCCCACCUUCUAUUUCAUAGGCUCAUAUACAGUAUGUGCUCAUUAAAUAUUAGCUGUUAGUGAGAAAGCCCUAGAAACACAGUGCAGGGCAUUGUAAUUUGUGUAGUGUUGGCAUGUUUUUCUUCUUUGAGGUUUCUCACCAAACACCAAACAUAGGUUCUCAACUUCCUCAGGUACAUGACUUUUCCAGAUUUCUGAAGAGCCGUGAAAGGAUGCUGACUGGUGAGAAUGUUUAAGAUAUGGUAGUCUACAUAUAGAAUACAGUCUCAUCCAUCAUAAUCACAUGUAACACCGGCAUCCCGGCCAGGUACAGACCCUCUGAGGUCCAACCCAAACCCAAGGCCUACAUCUCAUCUCUCAUAGCCACAGCUCUUUUGUGUCUGACCAUGAGUCCUGGGUUUUGGGGAACUUGAAAUCUAGUUGAGGAAGCAUAAUGGGUGUAUAUGAAACAACCGAAACUACUUACUUAAUCAACAUGUCAACAAAUGUAAAAAUCAAUACACUACAACCGGGCCUGGCAGGGUAGGAGAUACAACACAGACAUGGUCAGAAUGCAGUGAAGUUAGUUGUAAGACAGCCAUCUCCUUGGAGAAGGUGAAGUUUGAGUUAGAUCUAGAAACAGGGUAUGGACAGAUAUUGAUGGAGACAGUAAAGGAUGAUGUAAGUGGUAUUAGCAUCUAUGAAGGGACGGAGUCCAGUGAAUGAGAUAGGAAAUUAACAAUGUGCGGAAGGGAGUACGUAGAUCUGGAGGUGGGGAACAAAAAAAGAUUGGGGAAAUAAGUGGGGUGAUAGACAUGCCUUUAAAAGCCUCAGCAAAUGACACUGAAGGUCAUGUGGGUACCUGAGAUUGUGGGUGAAGUUUGUUUCUGGAAGUUUCCUCACUCUACAGUGGUUUUCCAUGCAGGGCAUUAAAGAGCGAGUACUGCAUAUCUAAGGGAGAAAUGGAGGAGGUGGGAGGCUGUCCUGCCAAGGGGGAGCCCAGAGCCCCGGGUGGCAGUGCCGGGCAGUUGCCAACACGGAGUGUGGGACUUGGCCCUCCUUGCGUUCCAUGUGGUUUGCUAUAGCUGUUGUGGCCCCUCCAGUUCCAAAGGGUGACUUUUUUUUUUUUUUUUCCUUUCUGCAAUUUGGGCUCUUUGCUCGGGCAUCUUUGCAAACGAUGGAGACUUUGUGAUGUGAGGAAAAGGAAGAACUUUCCUGGUAUACAGUUGUCCUAACCAAUCCUGGAAGCACCCUUAAUAUGACCUGAACUGAAGCCACAGAAGCCCCUGAGUAGGCCCAGAGAAGCACUCAAUAGUGGUGAUCCAAGCCCUAGAAGGAGUCGCUAUGGGGAACAGGAAGAGGUGGAGGCUGCCACGGGCUGAGCGCUGAAAUGCUGAGACGAGGAACGUAAUUGUGCCGACGUGGAGCAGAAGGGGGCUAACCGCAAGAUGAGGAAACUGGUAAAUGUGGAGAAGCAAAAAAGAGAUGGGACAGCUCAGCACUGGUGACAAGAAAGCACGUUCCUAUUCCUGGGGCUUGCUGGGCUCAUGCAUCCUUCUCUCUGGUUCUAGAGAGGAGCACAGAGGCAGUGCCUACAAGAGGAAGGGGCACGCAUAGCUCUCUUCUCUGUCCUCCCUCACGUGACAGCAGGGACCUGAAAAACUUAUCUUCCAAUGUCCAAGGCGGUCUGGUGACAUUCAGGAAGGUGAAGCAGCUCGGCGCGCCUGCCCCUGUCGCCCGUGUGGGGACAACCCGGGGUUGCACGCAGGCACGUGCGGGCACUGGGGAGCCGGCAGAGCCGCCUUGCUUCUUCCGCUGAGCUCAUCCCCAAAUGCCCUUUGCCCUCUUCGUACAAUCAGAACCUCUUCAAAUAACUAACUUCAACUUUAAUGGAGAAGUGCGGUGGUUCUCCACUUUGGCUGCACACUCGAUCACUUGCAGGCACUUUAAAAAAAAUGCAGUUCGUCUAGGAUGGGUCCGAGAUGUAGGGGCUUUUUCCGAAAGCAUACCAGGUGGGUGGUACAUUGAGAACAGCUGGAUUUGCUAAUCUUGAGCCACCUUAGACAGUUCGGUCAACAUGGAAUUUGUUGAUCUUUGGAGGUGUCUGAAAACACCACAAAAAGAAUUAGCCUUUGGGAAACCAGGAAAACCUAAGAGAUACCCUCCCUUGGAGACUGUGGCCCCUGGGUUGCCUUCCUGGGGAAAUUCUCGAGGUUCUCUAGUGUGCCGUGUGAGCUCUGGCAUCCUGAGCUUCGGCCUCCUGAGCUUCCCUCCAUAGGGCAGGAUGGGAGUUCUUCGCGUGAUCAUUGGCACACAGAAAAUACCCUGGCGGCUCAGUGUAGCUGUCUCUUCAUCCUGGCACCAUCCUGGACAGUUUUGUUGAAGAACACGAUUGCUGUCCGUAAUGUAAAUCUUACAAAGUCCCUUUUUUAUUUUUGUUUUUUAAGUUUACUUAUUUUGAGAGAGAGUGAGUGAGCAAGGGAGUGGGGGAGAGGCAGAGAGAGAGAGGAAGAGAGAGAAUCCCAAGCAGGCUCUGAGCUGUCAGCACACAACUCGCCUCGGGGCUCUCAUUCAUGAACCGUGAAAUCAUGACCUGGGCCGAAAUCAAGAGUCUGACGCUUAACCGCCUGAGCCACCCAGGCACCCCAGAAAGUUUCAUUCAGAAAGGUUUUCCAUGCAAUUUGUCACAGACUCAGACCUCACGUGAUACUAUGGAGAGUGAAAACACCCCUGUCUUAGCACCGCCCUCUUCCUGGCCAUCCCGUCCCCAGCCAGCCUCCCAGUUGGUCUUCUGUGCCGUCUUCAUUUCACGUUUGGACAAGACCGAGAACCAAUGAUUCAGCCUCUGGGGGGAAGGAUUUCCACAUUGUUACCCACUGUGCAAAACAGCCUUUCCCUUUUAUCUCUUCCAAAUUUGCCUCUUUCAACCACCAUCAGCCAGCCCUACCUGCCGGGAUUACAAGAUUUGGUGACCACAUCUGACCCGACUGUGCACACCUUUGGCAUGUCGCAUCUAAGCCCUCAUCCUCCCCCGAAGGCCAGAGUUUGGUUUUUGCUUGUCAUCAUGUAAGGAACACUCUUUCUGCUUGUCAUUUUAAUUACUCUCUAUUGAACCCUUUCCAGUCCUUUCACAUCGUCCGUGAGUGCCAGAGAACAGAAUGACACUCAUUAUGGCAUGAAUUUACUAUAAUUUGAUACAAGGAUGGGAUUGUGAUAUUUUGUUUCCAGUAUUCUUAUCUGCAUGUUAUUAGGGAUUUUUUGGUGGGGAUUGAAAGGCAGGGCUGUGGAAUCAGAACUUCAAGAAAUGGUUUUCAGGUUCAUUAAAUUAUUUUCCUUGAGCUGUGAUUAUCUUCUUGUUGCCCACACUGACUCAGCUGGCAGGUGUCUGGCCUCCCACGCAGCUCGCUAACAUCCUUCUGUAGCUUUACUUCCACUGCUGUCAGCUCACUACCUGGCCAAACUUGGUGUCACAAACGACCUUGGAGAUUCCACUGCGUACCUCUCCCUCGGAUCAUUUAUAACCGUGGAAAUUAAGACUUGGAUGUUCAAGCUGCCGAAUGAAAAUGAGACAGGUUCUAGGAGAGAUUUUGAAAACUAUUUUUUCCUGUUCUCAAAAAAGUGCAUGCUCAUUUAACAGUUUGAAAAUAUAAACAAAUACAGAGAAAAUUAAAAUCACUCCUGAUCCCCCCCACCCCGCCCCGAGAUAAUCUCUGCUAAUAUUUUGGUUUCUGUUCUUCCCAUCUUUUCUUCAGGAAGGACAACACACACACACACACACACACACACACACACACACACACCCCUACAAACUUUUUCCCUCUUUUUUUUUUUUAAACACAAACACUGAGAAACAAAACAUUAUGAGUAAUUGGCAAUAACUGUAAUUUACUACUGCAAUUAACUACCUGAUGCUCUCCCAGUCUUCCUCCCACAGGGUAACUAUUUUCUCCUAGUCUGAGUUUAUUUAUUCCCUUGCUUUAUAAAAGUGAUUUUAUAAAUUGUGGAUUUAAAAAGUGAAUUCAUAAAUUGUUUGGGUUUGCUUGAUUUUAAGCUUUAUAAAAAUGGUAUCAUGCUGUAAUCAUACGUCUCUUGCUUUUUUCACUCAAAAGCACAUUGGGUCACUUUAUCCAAGCUGUUCUGUGUAGAUACAAUUCUUUCACUGUGGCUGUUGCUUAAUAUUUCCAUUGUGGAGAUACCCACAAUUUAUGCAUUCAUUCUUCUCUUGCUGGUCACUUGGAUUAUUAGUCUUUUGCCAUUAUGAGCAGCGCUUGUACAUGUCUCUUGGAAAAUGUGUCAAGAAGUCUUUGGGGUGAAAUCAUUGGCUACAAAGCAUGCAAAAAUUUCAGCUUCAUGAAGCAUUGCCAAACUAGCUGCACCAAUUUACAUUCCCGGGAAUCAGUGCAUAAGAGCUUCCAACUGAUCAACCUCCUGUCCAACAUUUGGAAUCAUCAUCAUAAUUUUUUUCUUAAUGUUUAUUUAUUUUUGAGAGAGAGAGAGAGUGAGAGCGAGAGGAGAGAGCAACCUGGGGAGGGGCAGAGAGAGAGGGACAGAGGAUCUGAAGUGGGCUCUGUGCAGUGAGCCUGAUGCAGGACUUGAACUCAAGAACUGCAAAAUCAUGACCUGAGCCAAAGUCAGACACUCAACCGACUGAGCCACCCAGGCACCCCUGGGAACUGUCAGACUUUACAACUUCUGCCUCUCUAGUGGGUUUAUAAUAUUGUAGUAUUAAUUUGCAUUUUCCUGAAUACUAAAGAACUUGAGGAUCUUUUCAUACAUACACUUGCCAUAUGUGUUUGCCCUUCUGUAAAAUGUCUGCUCAUAUUUUUGACCCUUUUCCUCUUGGGUUGUUUGUCUCUCACACAUAUUGUUAAGCAAAAUUUGAAUCAUACUACACAUACCAUUUUGUACUUUUCCAUGACAUGAAACAUUCUUUUACACUGUUAUUUUAAUGACUGUGGCACCUUCUAUUUCAUGGCUAUCUUGUGAUUUAAUCAAAGUCUUGUACCUGUAUAUAUUUUUUCAAUUUUAUUUUUUAGAAAUAGCUCUGGUAAGAUAUUCUAAUGCAUAGAUUUAAUUAUACAUCACUAAAUAUUUUUAUUAAAAAAGUUUCAAGGAUUUGGAUUUCUGGGUCAAAGGAUAUCAACGUUAAAAAAAUGAUAUAUAUUUCCAAAUCCCUUUCCAGAAAGGUUGAUUAAUUUAUAUUCUCCAAAAAACUCUUUAACACUGG